CAAAAUUUUAGUAGGAAAAUGAAAACCUAUUCGCGCCCUCCCAGGUAUUCUCCUCUGUUUAGGAAUACAAAGCACUAUCUCUCUCUCUCACACACACACACAAUCACCACCAAAUCUCACCUCACCUCAGGCGCUUACCACCGGGAAGCAUUCGACGUUGCACAUUGCCACCGUCACAAAUCGCCACCGUUGCAAAUCACCACCGCCACUGCCGCAAUACCAGGUUAUAUCUCGCUCUUUCUCUUAGUCUCGCACUCUCUCUCGUUCUCGCUCUCGAGCUUGCCGUAUCCCCAAAUCGUAUAAAACUUGCCCUAGAUCCAUAAGUGGCUUGCUAUGCUAGUGUUGUUGCUCUUUAUGAAAUUUGUUAACCCUUUUUAUGUUAACUAAUAUACUGAAGUGCCUCUGGGAAAGAGGUGGGAGUCCAAAUCGGGUUCAAUUUAUCACGUAAUUAAGAGUGAUUGAGUAAUUAGGUACAAACUGUAUAAGUGAGAGGCAUACUACAUUAGGCAAAAUAAUUUUGUUAUGAAAUUAAUUUUGUAGAGUGUUUAAGCUUUUGGAUCUGUGGUUUUAUUUUUAUCAAUGGAAGACACAAGUUUAAGCUCAUGUACACCCACACUCAUCAUUUCCACCUUGCUCCCUUGUUGAUUGUUUGAUGUUUGAGGAUCAAAACAAAGGUUAAAAGCCCUCCUACAAGAGCCUCUGUUGCUGCAAAAUUCCAUCUUUCCCUUCCCUCUCUUAGUUUGCUUCAUUACUAGGAAUAGUUAAUGAUGUUGCAGGUUGUGGCUAGAAAACAAUGAUUUGAUGAGGUAAUCUAUCUCCAUUGUGUUCUUGUUGUCAUUAUCUUUUUUUCCCCCAAUUGUUGUAGUUGGCUAAUGUCUGAAUUCAAUGUUUUAGAGUGAUUUGGAGUAUCAAUUUUACUUUGUGAUUACGAAGACGAUAUGAAAUAGGUAGGCAAUAGAUGAUGACAAACCUAACUAAAGAGGAAUUUGUGCACAUUCUUCGUCACCAAAGCACCGGAUUCUCUCGGGGGAGCUCAAAAUAUAGAGGAGUGACCUUGCACAAAUGUGGUCUAUGGGAGGCUCAAAUGGGACAGUUCCUUGGGAAGAAAUUUUUGAAGGGCCCAUUCAUGUCAAUGUGAGCCACAUUAUUCAUGAUUUAUCAUUUGGGCCAAAAUAUCCUGGAAUUCACAACCCACUUGAUGAGACUUAACGGAUUCUACGUGGUUCAAGUGGAACAUUCAAAUAUUACAUAAAGAUUGUUCCAACUGAAUACAGAUACUUAUCAAAAGAAGUUUUACCAACUAAUCAAUUCUCAGUCACGGAAUAUUAUUCUCCUAUGAACGAGUAUGAUAGGACUUGGCCAGGUUUGUUUGGACACUGGAAUUUAUUUUGAUCCCUCUCUGCUAACUCUUCUUUCUCUCUUCCAGAUCUUUUUUCUGUUCCUUGCAGCUACUAUCAUCUGUGUUCCAAUUACGAACCCAAUUGUUAUUCUAUCCAGCUGUUUACUUUCUGUAUGAUCUGUCACCAAUUACUGUGACCAUCAGAGAGGAACGUCGCAGUUUUUUCCACUUCAUCACUCGGCUUUGUGCAGUAUUGGGCGGUACAUUUGCCUUAACAGGAAUGUUAGAUCGGUGAAUGUAUAGACUUCUUGAUGCAGUAAUGAAGCCAAAUGCUAGAAGUAUGUCGCGGUAAACAUGGGGAUUGCAUCUAUUAAAGCAAAGAUUAUAUAACCACUAAUUGAUAGCGUGGUGGGAGUCUGAAAUUAUGCUGCUGAGGGAGAUUAUAUAUAGAGCAUUAUAUUGGUUGUUUAAUUUUUCUUUCUUGUUUACCCUCGUCCAACUGAUGAUUCAAGCCGCAUUGUCAUCUUAACACUGUUACCCAUUUUAUAAAUCUCUCCCCAUGCAUGUUGUGGUUUUUCUGGGAAGAAUGUGUAAGAGGAUGUACUUGAUUACUUCCCAAAAUACAUGGGGUCACAUCUGAAUGAUGAUUGGCUAAUCUUGGGUAAAUGAGGGCACACAUGGCACGAGGUGAUUGGAUAAUUUUUUUGUAGCUUUGUUUUAUUUUAUUUAUUUUUUGGGAUGAAUGGAUGAUUUGUUUAUGGAUGAAGUGGAUGAGAUUUUGGAACUCUUUUUUUAU
Molecule: non-coding RNA, 2135 nt
Organism: Camellia sinensis
Lineage: Eukaryota; Viridiplantae; Streptophyta; Magnoliopsida; Ericales; Theaceae
Source: RefSeq, a predicted model, not a curated record